UACGUAGGGUGCGAGCGUUAAUCGGAAUUACUGGGCGUAAAGCGUGCGCAGGCGGUGAUGUAAGACAGAUGUGAAAUCCCCGGGCUCAACCUGGGAACUGCAUUUGUGACUGCAUAGCUAGAGUACGGUAGAGGGGGAUGGAAUUCCGCGUGUAGCAGUGAAAUGCGUAGAUAUGCGGAGGAACACCGAUGGCGAAGGCAAUCCCCUGGACCUGUACUGACGCUCAUGCACAAAAGCGUGGGGAGCAAACAGG
This 253-nucleotide ribosomal RNA is filed under the name uncultured bacterium. RNAcentral's name for it is "partial 16S ribosomal RNA". It matches the Rfam family "Bacterial small subunit ribosomal RNA", at positions 524 to 776 of the family's 1533-position model. The record is from RNAcentral.